GAUGAACGCUGGCGGCGUGCCUAAUACAUGCAAGUCGAGCGAACGGACGAGAAGCUUGCUUCUCUGAUGUUAGCGGCGGACGGGUGAGUAACACGUGGAUAACCUACCUAUAAGACUGGGAUAACUUCGGGAAACCGGAGCUAAUACCGGAUAAUAUUUUGAACCGCAUGGUUCAAAAGUGAAAGACGGUCUUGCUGUCACUUAUAGAUGGAUCCGCGCUGCAUUAGCUAGUUGGUAAGGUAACGGCUUACCAAGGCAACGAUGCAUAGCCGACCUGAGAGGGUGAUCGGCCACACUGGAACUGAGACACGGUCCAGACUCAUACGGGAGGCAGCAGUAGGGGAUCUUCCGCAAUGGGCGAAAGCCUGACGGAGCAACGCCGCGUGAGUGAUGAAGGUCUUCGGAUCGUAAAACUCUGUUAUGAGGGAAGAAAAAAUGUGUAAGUAACUGUGCACAUCUUGACGGUACCUAAUCAGAAAGCCAAGGCUAACUACGUG
Molecule: ribosomal RNA, 497 nt
Filed under: uncultured bacterium
Lineage: Bacteria
Description: partial 16S ribosomal RNA
Rfam family: Bacterial small subunit ribosomal RNA
Source: RNAcentral